GACGCGCACGUGCGACGUGCGAGCUGUGCAUGAUUUUGAGUUCGAAAUGAUAUCCCAUAUAAUAAAUAAUUUCUGGAUAAUUUCUUCGUCGUUGUAAAAAUUGUUAUUUCAAAAUCAAUUUUCGUCAAACCUCUAUGUACGUUUGUAAUAUCAUGAUUGACCGAUUUCUGUACGCAUUCCACAGUGUAUUCCUUACAACUGCACAUAGGAGUUUAGCCUCGAGUUUUACAAAGAAUUGGUUUGUUCGAAAAUAAUAAUUACGUCGACGAUGAAGAAAAAACCAGAACUAACUUUUGAUUGUGACCUUGCCCCAUAGCAGGCCACGAUACGAGUGAGGAAGAGGUCAUCUGGGGUAGUAUAAUGGCUGUACUCUGCUAUCAAACCACCCUUGGAUAUAGCCCCCAGGUUUGGGACAUCCUUUUGUAGGGCCAGUAAAUGGCCGUGGGCAUCUGUAUCUGGCAGUCGAUAUGGGCCAUCCGCGAUUGAUCCUGAGCGAUUGACGAUGAGAUGUGCACCAAUUUUAUACAGAGUCAAGUGCCUUCUGCAUAUUACUUUUCAUGGAAGAAAAGUGGUCGCUUACGACGAUUAAAGCCACGUCAUCAGCAUAGCCCACCGUUAAUUGUCAUCCUCGUCAUGUCGAGCCCCGUAAGGAGUCCGUCUGCGACCAGGGUCCAGGGGAUACAACGCCGCUUUGCGGUCAUCCCCUGUCUACAUGCGCCCUGACCUCGGUGCCCCCAAGACUAGCCACGACGAUCCUGGUUUGUAUCAUCUGUCUGAUCCAAUGAACUACCCAUUAGCGCUUAUACUAAACCUUAUGGCAGUUUCGCGGAUUGCGUCAAAGGCGUUGUUAUAAAACACGUUUCUUCUACGUCGAUGAACAGUUGACUACAUUAAUUACACCGGUUUUACAAUUUUCAUAAAUUUCAGACAUGUUCAAAAAUAUUAUGUGACAUCUGAUUUACAUGUAACAUAAUGGUGAGGAAAAACUGAGCGAAACAUGAUAUGAUUUCCACACGUAACACUCGACCAUUAGAGGUCCAUACAGAAGUAAAUGUUCCGUGUGGGUAAGAUGGCGGUGUACAUUAAUAAUGGGUAGAA
This 1098-nucleotide long non-coding RNA is filed under the name Neodiprion pinetum (white pine sawfly). Its description in RNAcentral is "uncharacterized LOC124216161". The record is from RNAcentral. Lineage: Eukaryota; Metazoa; Arthropoda; Insecta; Hymenoptera; Diprionidae.